This 79-nucleotide small RNA is filed under the name Saimiri boliviensis boliviensis (Bolivian squirrel monkey). RNAcentral describes it as "Y RNA (ENSSBOG00000006468.1)". Lineage: Eukaryota; Metazoa; Chordata; Mammalia; Primates; Cebidae. The record is from RNAcentral.
GAUUGUUCAUAGUCAGGUACAGAUUGGACUUUUGCUCUGUUCUUUCCCCCCGCUCACUGCUGUGCCUGACUAAUCUUUA